UACGGAGGGUGCAAGCGUUAUCCGGAUUCACUGGGUUUAAAGGGUGCGUAGGAGGGCAGGUAAGUCAGUGGUGAAAUCUCUGGGCUUAACCCAGAAACUGCCGUUGAUACUAUCUGUCUUGAAUACCGUGGAGGUGAGCGGAAUAUGUCAUGUAGCGGUGAAAUGCAUAGAUAUGACAUAGAACACCAAUUGCGAAGGCAGCUCACUACACGCAUAUUGACUCUGAGGCACGAAAGCGUGGGGAUCAAACAGG
This 253-nucleotide ribosomal RNA is filed under the name uncultured bacterium. RNAcentral describes it as "partial 16S ribosomal RNA". It matches the Rfam family "Bacterial small subunit ribosomal RNA", at positions 524 to 776 of the family's 1533-position model. The record is from RNAcentral.